AACGCUAGCUACAGGCUUAACACAUGCAAGUCGAGGGGAAACGACAUCGAAAGCUUGCUUUUGAUGGGUGUCGACCGGCGCACGGGUGAGUAACGCGUAUCCAACCUGCCCACCACUUGGGGAUAACCUUGCGAAAGUAAGACUAAUACCCAAUGACGUCUCUAGAAGACAUCUGAAAGAGAUUAAAGAUUUAUCGGUGAUGGAUGGGGAUGCGUCUGAUUAGCUUGUUGGCGGGGUAACGGCCCACCAAGGCGACGAUCAGUAGGGGUUCUGAGAGGAAGGUCCCCCACAUUGGAACUGAGACACGGUCCAAACUCCUACGGGAGGCAGCAGUGAGGAGUAUUGGUCAAUGGACGAGAGUCUGAACCAGCCAAGUAGCGUGCAGGAAGACGGCCCUAUGGGUUGUAAACUGCUUUUACAAGGGAAUAAAGUGAGAGUCGUGACUCUUUUUGCAUGUACCUUAUGAAUAAGGACCGGCUAAUUCCGUGCCAGCAGCCGCGGUAAUACGGAAGGUCCGGGCGUUAUCCGGAUUUAUUGGGUUUAAAGGGAGCGUAGGCCGGAGAUUAAGCGUGUUGUGAAAUGUAGACGCUCAACGUCUGCACUGCAGCGCGAACUGGUUUCCUUGAGUACGCACAAAGUGGGCGGAAUUCGUGGUGUAGCGGUGAAAUGCUUAGAUAUCACGAAGAACUCCGAUUG
This 696-nucleotide ribosomal RNA is filed under the name uncultured bacterium. RNAcentral's name for it is "bacterial SSU rRNA". It matches the Rfam family "Bacterial small subunit ribosomal RNA", at positions 32 to 715 of the family's 1533-position model. The record is from RNAcentral.